RNAcentral lists this transfer RNA (89 nucleotides) under Calditrichota bacterium. RNAcentral describes it as "Calditrichaeota bacterium (activated sludge metagenome) tRNA-Ser". It matches the Rfam family "tRNA". Rfam says of the family: Transfer RNA (tRNA) molecules are approximately 80 nucleotides in length. The record is from RNAcentral. Lineage: Bacteria; Pseudomonadati; Calditrichota. RNAcentral also lists the same sequence under 1 other name.
GGAGAGGUGGCCGAGUGGCUGAAGGCGCUCGCCUGCUAAGCGAGUAUAGGGUUAUUUCCCUAUCGAGGGUUCGAAUCCCUCCCUCUCCG